RNAcentral lists this ribosomal RNA (474 nucleotides) under uncultured bacterium. RNAcentral's name for it is "SSU rRNA". It matches the Rfam family "Bacterial small subunit ribosomal RNA", at positions 26 to 518 of the family's 1533-position model. The record is from RNAcentral.
AGAUUGAACGCUGGCGGCGUGCCUAACACAUGCAAGUCGAGCGGUAACAGGUGUAGCAAUACAUGCUGACGAGCGGCGAACGGGUGAGUAAUGCUUUGGAAUCUUCCCAGUAGUGGGGAAUAACCAGUCGAAAGAUUGGCUAAUACCGCAUACGUCUGUAAAGGGAAAGCGGGGGCUCGUAAGACCUCGCGCUAUUGGAUGAGCCAAAGUCGGAUUAGCUAGUUGGUGGGUAACGGCCUACCAAGGCGACAAUCCGUAGCUGGUCUGAGAGGACGACCAGCCACACCGGAACUGAGACACGGUCCGGACUCCUACGGGAGGCAGCAGUGGGGAAUAUUGGACAAUGGGGGAAACCCUGAUCCAGCGACGCCGCGUGUGUGAAGAAGGCCUGCGGGUUGUAAACUGCUUUUCUCUGGGACGAGCAAGGACGGUACCAGAGGAAGAAGCCCCGGCUAACUACGUGCCAGCAGCCGC